RNAcentral lists this long non-coding RNA (292 nucleotides) under Olea europaea (common olive). RNAcentral describes it as "long non-coding RNA (OEUR_LNC013134)". Lineage: Eukaryota; Viridiplantae; Streptophyta; Magnoliopsida; Lamiales; Oleaceae. The record is from RNAcentral.
GAAAACUUUCUUUCUGCAUGAAGCAUCAAGUGACGAGAGAUGGCAAUUUAAACUGACCUGGUGCAGCUGCAAGAUCUAUCAAAACUUGAGGCAAUUACCACAUUAUAAUCAUUAGUUUCAUCAAGGUAUUGAUAUGGCCUCAUGACUAUAUUACCCAAGAACCUGAUGUGUACUCAAGCCUCAAUCAUAUAUUAAGUUUACACAAUCUCAUUCUUAUGUCCGACUAUCAACCUGAUGGUAAAGUAAAACCUGUCUGCAUUAGCUAGUAUGUAAUUUAAGCCAUAAAUUGAAA